ACGAUCUUGUUGGGAGAAACCGGUUCAAUCCGGUGCCGAAGGAGCAACCGCCCCGGAAACUCUCAGGCCAAAGGACCAGCAAGGUGCC
This is a regulatory RNA element of Sinorhizobium fredii NGR234, 88 nucleotides long. It matches the Rfam family "Glycine riboswitch aptamer". From Rfam's summary of the family: This family represents the bacterial glycine riboswitch. Glycine riboswitches usually consist of two metabolite-binding aptamers domains with similar structures in tandem. The aptamers cooperatively bind glycine to regulate the expression of downstream genes. The record is from Rfam. Lineage: Bacteria; Pseudomonadati; Pseudomonadota; Alphaproteobacteria; Hyphomicrobiales; Rhizobiaceae.